UACGGGGGGGGCAAGCGUUGUUCGGAAUUACUGGGCGUAAAGGGCGCGUAGGCGGCCUUCUAAGUCAGACGUGAAAUCCUCCGGCUUAACCUGGGAACUGCGUCUGAUACUGGGAGGCUUGAGUAUGGGAGAGGGAUGUAGAAUUCCAGGUGUAGCGGUGAAAUGCGUAGAUAUCUGGAGGAAUACCGGUGGCGAAGGCGGCAUCCUGGACCAUAACUGACGCUGAGGCGCGAAAGCUAGGGGAGCAAACGGG
Molecule: ribosomal RNA, 253 nt
Filed under: uncultured bacterium
Lineage: Bacteria
Description: partial 16S ribosomal RNA
Rfam family: Bacterial small subunit ribosomal RNA
Source: RNAcentral